ACCUGGGUGGCUCAGUUGGUUAAGCGUCUGACUUUAGCUCAGGUCAUGGUAUCGUGGUUCAUGGGUUUGAGCCCCAUGUCAGGCU
This 85-nucleotide transfer RNA is filed under the name Felis catus (domestic cat). It matches the Rfam family "tRNA". Rfam says of the family: Transfer RNA (tRNA) molecules are approximately 80 nucleotides in length. Their secondary structure includes four short double-helical elements and three loops (D, anti-codon, and T loops). Lineage: Eukaryota; Metazoa; Chordata; Mammalia; Carnivora; Felidae. The record is from Rfam by way of RNAcentral.